AUUGAACGCUGGCGGCAUGCCUUACACAUGCAAGUCGAACGGCAGCGCGGACUUCGGUCUGGCGGCGAGUGGCGAACGGGUGAGUAAUACAUCGGAGCGUACCCUGUUGUGGGGGAUAACUAGUCGAAAGAUUAGCUAAUACCGCAUACGACCUGAGGGUGAAAGUGGGGGACCGCAAGGCCUCACGCAGCAGGAGCGGCCGAUGUCUGAUUAGCUAGUUGGUGGGGUAAAGGCCCACCAAGGCGACGAUCAGUAGCUAGUCUGAGAGGACGAUCAGCCACACUGGGACUGAGACACGGCCCAGACUCCUACGGGAGGCAGCAGUGGGGAAUUUUGGACAAUGGGGGCAACCCUGAUCCAGCAAUGCCGCGUGUGUGAAGAAGGCCUUCGGGUUGUAAAGCACUUUUGUCCGGAAAGAAAUCGCGCUGGUUAAUACCUGGCGUGGAUGACGGUACCGGAAGAAUAAGCACCGGCUAACUACGUG
Molecule: ribosomal RNA, 484 nt
Filed under: uncultured bacterium
Lineage: Bacteria
Description: partial 16S ribosomal RNA
Rfam family: Bacterial small subunit ribosomal RNA
Source: RNAcentral